UGAUAUAUAAUUCCUUCUUACAAUUUAUACUUCCUAUACAUUCUAAUACUAUGAAGAUACUUUGUUGAUACAGGUCAGUUAUUGUCUUGAAUGGGAAGGGAGCUAAAUUGGCAAAGCAUUGUGUACCUGCAGAUCCUACGAAGAGAAAGAUGAAAGAAAGCUUGUAUCGAAUAGGGUUCAUCCCCGAACCAGACCUCCAGAACAUCCUGCCACUAAUAUACAAUUAACUUAGAAGGAACCAACAUCAUGCGAGUAGUAACAAAAAGCCUAGCUCACAAGGGAGAAGCUUCAACAGAGGUAGGAAAUGCAUAUGAAAGCCUACUGCUGGGAGCCAAUGUCAGUCAUAUGACCAUGAAACUACACCUAAUGUGAGACGAAGACAAGUUAUAGAUGACCAAUCUGCAUCAACCAGUGAUAAUUCAUCAGUGUGAAGAAUGUAUGAAUCGAAUCCUAGAUUUUCCUCAGAGAAACCAAAUGAGAGUGGACAGAGAUUGAGUUUAGUAUAUUAUUUAAGUCUUCAAAUGUUUGGUACACGAAUCUCUACUAUUUGUGGUGUAUUUGUCUAAACUAUCCCUAAAUUUAAUUUUAUUGUACAAACGUUGUGAAUUUUUAAAUUUUGUUCA
This is a long non-coding RNA of Asparagus officinalis (garden asparagus), 623 nucleotides long. RefSeq lists it as uncharacterized. The record is from RefSeq and is a predicted model, not a curated record. Lineage: Eukaryota; Viridiplantae; Streptophyta; Magnoliopsida; Asparagales; Asparagaceae. The transcript has 2 exons.